This 663-nucleotide ribosomal RNA is filed under the name uncultured cyanobacterium. RNAcentral describes it as "bacterial SSU rRNA". It matches the Rfam family "Bacterial small subunit ribosomal RNA", at positions 99 to 795 of the family's 1533-position model. Lineage: Bacteria; Bacillati; Cyanobacteriota. The record is from RNAcentral.
CGGACGGGUGAGUAACGCGUGAGAAUCUGGCUUCAGGUCUGGGACAACCACUGGAAACGGUGGCUAAUACCGGAUGUGCCGAGAGGUGAAAGGUUAACUGCCUGAAGAUGAGCUCGCGUCUGAUUAGCUAGUUGGAAGUGUAAUGGACUCCCAAGGCGACGAUCAGUAGCUGGUCUGAGAGGACGAUCAGCCACACUGGGACUGAGACACGGCCCAGACUCCUACGGGAGGCAGCAAUGGGGAAUUUUCCGCAAUGGGCGAAAGCCUGACGGAGCAAUACCGCGUGAGGGAGGAAGGCUCUUGGGUCGUAAACCUCUUUUCUCAGGGAAGAACAAAAUGACGGUACCUGAGGAAUAAGCAUCGGCUAACUCCGUGCCAGCAGCCGCGGUAAUACGGAGGAUGCAAGCGUUAUCCGGAAUGAUUGGGCGUAAAGCGUCCGCAGGUGGCUAUGUAAGUCUGCUGUUAAAGAGUCUAGCUCAACUAGAUAAGAGCAGUGGAAACUACAAGGCUAGAGUACGUUCGGGGCAGAGGGAAUUCCUGGUGUAGCGGUGAAAUGCGUAGAGAUCAGGAAGAACACCGGUGGCGAAGGCGCUCUGCUAGGCCGUAACUGACACUGAGGGACGAAAGCUAGGGGAGCGAAUGGGAUUAGAUACCCCAGUAGUC